GCCUAGUUAGCUUGGUUGGUAGCGCGUCUGCCUUGUAAGCGCUAGGUCGCGGGUUCGAUUCCCGUGCGGGGCG
RNAcentral lists this transfer RNA (73 nucleotides) under Diaphorina citri (Asian citrus psyllid). It matches the Rfam family "tRNA". Rfam says of the family: Transfer RNA (tRNA) molecules are approximately 80 nucleotides in length. The record is from Rfam by way of RNAcentral. Lineage: Eukaryota; Metazoa; Arthropoda; Insecta; Hemiptera; Psyllidae.